GAUGAACGCUGGCGGCGUGCCUAAUACAUGCAAGUCGAGCGGAGCGGGGACGGGUGAGUACCAGGUGGAUAACCUCCUAUAAGACUGGGGUCACUUCGGGGAACCGGAUCUCAACCGGAUCCUUAUUCAUAGAUCCGCGCUGCAUUAGCUAGUUGGUAGGGUAACGGCUUACCAAGGCAACGAUGCAUAGCCGACCUGAGAGGGUGAGCGGCCACACUGGAACUGAGACACGGUCCAGACUCCUACGGGAGGCAGCAGUAGGGAAUCUUCCGCAAUGGGCGAAAGCCUGACGGAGCAACGCCGCGUGAGUGAUGAAGGUCUUCGGAUCGUAAAACUCUUUUAGUAGGGAAGCGGUACCUAAUCAGAAAGCACCGGCUAACUACGUGCCAGCAGCCGCGGUAAUUC
This 405-nucleotide ribosomal RNA is filed under the name uncultured bacterium. RNAcentral describes it as "partial 16S ribosomal RNA". It matches the Rfam family "Bacterial small subunit ribosomal RNA", at positions 28 to 526 of the family's 1533-position model. The record is from RNAcentral.